This 253-nucleotide ribosomal RNA is filed under the name uncultured bacterium. Its description in RNAcentral is "partial 16S ribosomal RNA". It matches the Rfam family "Bacterial small subunit ribosomal RNA", at positions 524 to 776 of the family's 1533-position model. The record is from RNAcentral.
GACGUAGGGCGCGAGCGUUGUCCGGAUUUAUUGGGCGUAAAGAGCUCGUAGGCGGCUUGUUGCGUCGACCGUGAAAACCCGUGGCUUAACUGCGGGCUUGCGGUCGAUACGGGCGGGCUGGAGUUCGGUAGGGGAGACUGGAAUUCCUGGUGUAGCGGUGAAAUGCGCAGAUAUCAGGAGGAACACCGGUGGCGAAGGCGGGUCUCUGGGCCACUACUGACGCUGAGAAGCGAAAGCGUGGGGAGCGAACAGG